Molecule: ribosomal RNA, 354 nt
Filed under: uncultured bacterium
Lineage: Bacteria
Description: partial 16S ribosomal RNA
Rfam family: Bacterial small subunit ribosomal RNA
Source: RNAcentral
CCUACGGGGGGCAGCAGUGGGGAAUAUUGGGCAAUGGAGGAAACUCUGACCCAGCAACGCCGCGUGAAUGAUGAAGGUCUUCGGAUUGUAAAGUUCUUUUCUACGGGAAGAAGAAAGUGACGGUACCUUAGGAAUAAGCCUCGGCUAACUACGUGCCAGCAGCCGCGGGAAUACGUAGGAGGCAAGCGUUAUCCGGAAUGACAGGGCGUAAAGGGUGCGUAGGUGGUUUGGCAAGUUGGUAGCGUAAUUCCGGGGCGCAACCACGGCACUACUACCAAAACUGUCGGACUUGGGUGCAGGAGGGGGAAAUGGAAUUCCGAGUGGAGCGGUGGAAUGCGUAGAUAGUAGGAAGAA